GUGAAUCAUCAAAUUUUUGAACGCAAAUUGCACUUUCUGGUAUUCCGGAAAGUAUGCCUGUUUGAGGGUCAGUUAAAUAAAAAUCGGUGUUGUUGCUGCCUUUCGUGGUGACGCGUCGGAAUUGAGUUGUCUUACCUUCGGUUAAGUGACUUAAAAUUUUGCAUGAUUUUCGAAGUAAUUUAAAUUUCUAACUAAGGUUGGGGAAACCGAAUACUUAA
RNAcentral lists this unclassified non-coding RNA (218 nucleotides) under Glomus sp. Its description in RNAcentral is "partial contains 5.8S ribosomal RNA and internal transcribed spacer 2". The stretch from base 1 to 71 matches the Rfam family "5.8S ribosomal RNA", at positions 84 to 154 of the family's 154-position model. The record is from RNAcentral. Lineage: Eukaryota; Fungi; Glomeromycota; Glomeromycetes; Glomerales; Glomeraceae.